Molecule: long non-coding RNA, 935 nt
Organism: Helianthus annuus (common sunflower)
Lineage: Eukaryota; Viridiplantae; Streptophyta; Magnoliopsida; Asterales; Asteraceae
Exons: 4
Source: RefSeq, a predicted model, not a curated record
CCCCCAUGUUAAUAUCAUCCAAGGUGUAAUUUUCAUAGAAUUUUCAUUUUUUUAAUUAAAGCCCAAAGUCAAUUCUUAAAAAGCCAUAGUCUACAUCUCUGUGUAACGUCCCUUUCUCUUCCUGCAGUUCAUACAAAAGGUCAAAAAAACCCUGGACACCCCACACCCAUAUUUCCGUUUCCUCUUCGUCUUCUUCUUCGUUCCCUCUGUAUCUUACUUUCCCUUUCCUCUUCUCUUUUCUAUUUCAUUUCGAGGUAUGGUUCAAAAACCCAAAAUAACCCUUUUGCAUCUUACUUUCUCUCUGAAAUACAUUUCAUACAGUUCCAUCUUUACAUAAAACUCCAAAUCUUAUUCAAGAAACACAAAUCCUACGGCCGCUUAUCAUACUUUAUUCGUUCUUCUUCUUCUAUACACAACUUUCAAACUUCACAAACCCUAACCCCCUUUAAUAAUCACCACCGCCAAGAUCUUUCAUUUGCGUUGAUUACGUCCAUUCACUUAGAUUCAGCGAUUUCUAUAUUCUCUCCAUUCAACGAUCUCUUCUUCAUCAAUCCUCUCUGGAUACUCAACAAUUAAGAUCCAGAGUGACGCUGUUUUGGAAACAGUUAAUGUUCAAGGUGGAGAUUGAUUCAUCAUCUAAAGCCGAUGCACCUAUUCUGUCACCGGAAGAUUGUAUAACCCAGUCAUCUCUAUAGGUAUUGAGAUGCCAUUGAAGAUGUAUUGAGAAACUUAAUGUAGACAACCUCAACUGUCAAAACGGACUAUGUUUCACAAAGAGUCAGGUCAAUCAUUAUCAAGGACUGGAUUCUUAAGACAACCAAUUUUCACUCAUGGGCAGCUAUACGUGGCACUUUGAAGAGUUAAGAGCAUGAACAAGUUAAAACUUUUAAUCUUAGAUACUGAUAAAAAAUACUAAUAAAAACUUCCAAUGUUGU